GACCCGGUAGUUCAAUCGGAUAGAACAUUCCUGUCGCAGGGAAAGGUUGCAGGUUCGAUUCCUGCCCGGGUCUCCA
This 76-nucleotide transfer RNA is filed under the name Gammaproteobacteria bacterium. RNAcentral's name for it is "tRNA-OTHER". It matches the Rfam family "tRNA". Rfam says of the family: Transfer RNA (tRNA) molecules are approximately 80 nucleotides in length. Lineage: Bacteria; Pseudomonadati; Pseudomonadota; Gammaproteobacteria. The record is from RNAcentral.